GUAGGUGAACCUGCGGAAGGAUCAUUACAGUGUUCGCUGCCCUCACGGGUAGCAAACCUCACCCUUGUAUAUUAUAUCUUUGUUGCUUUGGCACGCCGCCUUCGGGUACCGGCUCCGGCUGGCUCGUGCGUGCCAUAGGACCUAAAACUCUGAAUGUUAGUGUCGUCUGAGUACUAUCUAAUAGUUAAAACUUUCAACAACGGAU
This 205-nucleotide unclassified non-coding RNA is filed under the name plant metagenome. Its description in RNAcentral is "partial contains small subunit ribosomal RNA, internal transcribed spacer 1, and 5.8S ribosomal RNA". The record is from RNAcentral.